GGAGACGUGGCCGAGUGGUCGAAGGCGCUCCCCUGCUAAGGGAGUAGGCCCGAAAGGGUCUCGUGGGUUCGAAUCCCAUCGUCUCCGCCA
This 90-nucleotide transfer RNA is filed under the name Rhodovulum sulfidophilum. RNAcentral's name for it is "tRNA-Ser". It matches the Rfam family "tRNA". Rfam says of the family: Transfer RNA (tRNA) molecules are approximately 80 nucleotides in length. Their secondary structure includes four short double-helical elements and three loops (D, anti-codon, and T loops). Lineage: Bacteria; Pseudomonadati; Pseudomonadota; Alphaproteobacteria; Rhodobacterales; Paracoccaceae. RNAcentral also lists the same sequence under 18 other names. The record is from RNAcentral.